CGUCCCGGCCAUACCAUCCUGAACGCGCCCAAUCUCGUCUGAUCUCGGAAGCUAAGCAGGGUCGGGUCUGGUUAGUACUUGGAUGGGGGCUGGUCUAAAUAAUCCGCUUGGGUUC
Molecule: ribosomal RNA, 115 nt
Filed under: Neogale vison (American mink)
Lineage: Eukaryota; Metazoa; Chordata; Mammalia; Carnivora; Mustelidae
Source: RNAcentral